CCUACGACGGCGGGGCCGCACCACGCGGAUGCGCCCGUGUCGGCUCGGCCCCGGCUCUCCGGCGGUGCCUCGGAGGGCUCCCGCAGGAGUUCCGACAGCGCCAGCCUCUACGACCUGGGCUCCAGCGGCCGUCCCGGCAGCCGGACGAGCACGUUGUCAUCGGCGGAGUCAACGGCGGGUCCGGAGCAUCCGUCUGGGUCGGCAGCCGCGGCUGGUGGCCGACUCCCCAGCUCCGAGGCCGAGGUCGCCCUUCGAAAGCAGCGCGCGUCCGAGCGGCCUCCAGUGAAACCCACGUCCGGUUCCGCUCUGAGACUGGCGCGAGGAGCGACGCCGCACACGAUCCUCCGCCAAUCAGGACAGGGACGCGCCCCACCAGGCCUGUUUCGGAGUGGAGGGACGGAGCGCGCCCUGGCCUUCCCGCCGUCACAGCCUCGACCCCGCCAGCGGGGGCAACCCGAGUCGCGGCGGGCGGC
This is a long non-coding RNA of Pollicipes pollicipes, 473 nucleotides long. RefSeq lists it as uncharacterized. Lineage: Eukaryota; Metazoa; Arthropoda; Thecostraca; Pollicipedomorpha; Pollicipedidae. The record is from RefSeq and is a predicted model, not a curated record. The transcript has 3 exons.